CCUACGGGUGGCAGCAGUGAGGAAUAUUGGUCAAUGGGCGAGAGCCUGAACCAGCCAAGUCGCGUGAGGGAGUACUGCCCUAUGGGUUGUAAACCUCUUUUGUCGGGGAGCAAAAGCCGGACGUGUCCGGCUGUGAGAGUACCCGAAGAAAAAGCAUCGGCUAACUCCGUGCCAGCAGCCGCGGUAAUACGGAGGAUGCGAGCGUUAUCCGGAUUUAUUGGGUUUAAGGGGUGCGCAGGCGGAUUUUUAAGUCAGCGGUCAAAUCGUGGGGCUCAACCCCAUCCAGCCGUUGAAACUGGGGAUCAGGAGUGUGCGAGAGGCAGGCGGAGUGCGGGGUGGAGCGGAGAAAGGCAUAGAUA
Molecule: ribosomal RNA, 359 nt
Filed under: uncultured bacterium
Lineage: Bacteria
Description: partial 16S ribosomal RNA
Rfam family: Bacterial small subunit ribosomal RNA
Source: RNAcentral